This 254-nucleotide ribosomal RNA is filed under the name uncultured bacterium. RNAcentral's name for it is "partial 16S ribosomal RNA". It matches the Rfam family "Bacterial small subunit ribosomal RNA", at positions 524 to 776 of the family's 1533-position model. The record is from RNAcentral.
UACGAAGGGGGCUAGCGUUGUUCGGAUUUACUGGGCGUAAAGCGCACGUAGGCGGAUCGUUAAGUCGGGGGUGAAAUCCUGGAGCUCAACUCCAGAACUGCCUUCGAUACUGGCGAUCUUGAGUCCGGAAGAGGUGAGUGGAACUCCUAGUGUAGAGGUGGAAUUCGUAGAUAUUAGGAAGAACACCAGUGGCGAAGGCGGCUCACUGGUCCGGUACUGACGCUGAGGUGACGAAAGCGUGGGGAGCAAACAGG